Molecule: ribosomal RNA, 360 nt
Filed under: uncultured bacterium
Lineage: Bacteria
Description: bacterial SSU rRNA
Rfam family: Bacterial small subunit ribosomal RNA
Source: RNAcentral
AACGAACGCUGGCGGCAGGCCUAACACAUGCAAGUCGAACGCCGUAGCAAUACGGAGUGGCAGACGGGUGAGUAACACGUGGGAACAUACCCUUCGGUUCGGAAUAACUCAGGGAAACUUGAGCUAAUACCGGAUACGUCCGCGAGGAGAAAGAUUCAUCGCCGGAGGAUUGGCCCGCGUCUGAUUAGCUUGUUGGUGAGGUAACGGCUCACCAAGGCGACGAUCAGUAGCUGGUCUGAGAGGAUGAUCAGUCAGACUGGAACUGAGACACGGUCCAGACUCCUACGGGAGGCAGCAGUAAGGAAUCUUCCACAAUGGGCGAAAGCCUGAUGGAGCAACGCCGCGUGCAGGAUGAAGGCC